GACGAACGCUGGCGGCGUGCCUAAUACAUGCAAGUAGAACGCUGAAGGAGGAGCUUGCUCUUCUGGAUGAGUUGCGAACGGGUGAGUAACGCGUAGGUAACCUGCCUGGUAGCGGGGGAUAACUAUUGGAAACGAUAGCUAAUACCGCAUAAUAGUAGAUGUUGCAUGAUAUUUACUUAAAAGGUGCAAUUGCACCACUACCAGAUGGACCUGCGUUGUAUUAGCUAGUUGGUGGGGUAACGGCUCACCAAGGCGACGAUACAUAGCCGACCUGAGAGGGUGGUCGGCCACACUGGGACUGAGACACGGCCCAGACUCCUACGGGAGGCAGCAGUAGGGAAUCUUCGGCAAUGGACGAAAGUCUGACCGAGCAACGCCGCGUGAGUGAAGAAGGGUUUCGGAUCGUAAAGCUCUGUUGUAAGAGAAGAACGAGUGUGAGAGUGGAAAGUUCACACUGUGACGGUAUCUUACCAGAAAGGGACGGCUAACUACGUG
This 495-nucleotide ribosomal RNA is filed under the name uncultured bacterium. RNAcentral describes it as "partial 16S ribosomal RNA". It matches the Rfam family "Bacterial small subunit ribosomal RNA", at positions 28 to 507 of the family's 1533-position model. The record is from RNAcentral.